UAAUAUAGUCUUAAAAAAGGUGCAGGCCGAUUACAAGCCUGCUUAAAAGGGAAGCCGGUUGGAAUCCGGCGCGGUCCCGCCACUGUAUAUGCGGAGCGCUCCUCUGAAACAAGCCACUGUUCAAGGCGAACGGGAAGGCCGGAGGGGAGGCGAUGAGGCAUAAGCCAGGAGACCUGCCUUUUUUCAGUCAAGGUU
Molecule: non-coding RNA, 195 nt
Filed under: Paenibacillus sabinae
Lineage: Bacteria; Bacillati; Bacillota; Bacilli; Caryophanales; Paenibacillaceae
Source: RNAcentral